Molecule: ribosomal RNA, 448 nt
Filed under: uncultured bacterium
Lineage: Bacteria
Description: bacterial SSU rRNA
Rfam family: Bacterial small subunit ribosomal RNA
Source: RNAcentral
GCCAGACUCCUACGGGAGGCAGCAGUGGGGGAUAUUGCACAAUGGGGGGAACCCUGAUGCAGCGACGCCGCGUGGGUGAAGGAGCGUUUCGGCGCGUAAAGCCCUAUCGGCAGGGAAGAAGGAGGACGGUACCUGACUAAGAAGCCCCGGCUAACUACGUGCCAGCAGCCGCGGUAAUACGUAGGGGGCAGGCGUUAUCCGGAUUUACUGGGUGUAAAGGGGGCGCAGACGGCAGCGCAAGCCAGGAGUGAAAGCCCGGGGCCCAACCCCGGGACUGCUCUUGGAACUGCGCGGCUGGAGUGCAGGAGGGGCAGGCGGAAUUCCUGGUGUAGCGGUGAAAUGCGUAGAUAUCAGGAGGAACACCGGUGGCGAAGGCGGCCUGCUGGACUGCGACUGACGUUGAGGCCCGAAAGCGUGGGGAGCAAACAGGAUUAGAUACCCCUGUACU